CAUCCUACGGGAGGCAGCAGUGGGGAAUAUUGCACAAUGGGGGAAACCCUGAUGCAGCGACGCCGCGUUGGCGAAGAAGUAUUUCGGUAUGUAAAGCCCUAUCAGCAGGGAAGAAGAAAUGACGGUACCUGAGCAAGAAGCACCGGCUAAAUACGUGCCAGCAGCCGCGGUAAUACGUAUGGUGCAAGCGUUAUCCGGAUUUACUGGGUGUAAAGGGAGCGCGGGCGGCACGGCAAGCCUGAUGUGAAAGCCAGCGGCCCAACCG
Molecule: ribosomal RNA, 265 nt
Filed under: uncultured bacterium
Lineage: Bacteria
Description: partial 16S ribosomal RNA
Rfam family: Bacterial small subunit ribosomal RNA
Source: RNAcentral